This 74-nucleotide transfer RNA is filed under the name Halococcoides cellulosivorans. It matches the Rfam family "tRNA". Rfam says of the family: Transfer RNA (tRNA) molecules are approximately 80 nucleotides in length. Lineage: Archaea; Methanobacteriati; Methanobacteriota; Halobacteria; Halobacteriales; Haloarculaceae. The record is from Rfam by way of RNAcentral.
GGGCCGGUAGCUCAGUCUGGCAGAGCGUCUGACUCUUAAUCAGACGGUCGAGGGUUCAAAUCCCUUCCGGCCCG